Molecule: long non-coding RNA, 679 nt
Organism: Mauremys reevesii (Reeves's turtle)
Lineage: Eukaryota; Metazoa; Chordata; Testudines; Geoemydidae
Exons: 4
Source: RefSeq, a predicted model, not a curated record
GGAGAAGGGUGUUGUGGUGAAAGGCUAUAUUCAUUUCCCGAGAAGAUGGAGUUGGCAAACCCAGAGAGGGGGAAAGCCAGACAUGUAGGAAGAAGCCCAGAGAAACAGUAGCAAGAGAUCUACUUAUCGCGGAGUCUUCACUGCAGUAGGUCAACUGCUGACACUCCCCUGUCAACUCUGCCUACACAUCUCACUCCGGUGGAGUACCAGAGUCAAUCGGAGAGUGCUCGGUGCUUGAUUUAUCACAUCUUCACUAGACGUGAUAAAUUGACCCCUGCUGGAUCGAUCGCUCUGGAGGUCCCACCAGUUGAUAAACACUGCUCUAAGGUCUCCAGGAGGUUCUCCAGCAAAACCAGAGAAGAGCAAACUUAGUAUUUCUGAUAUUUCUAAGUUAAAAAGCUGUUUGUGUCAGACAACAUGCUUGCUGCACAGAAGUCCCACUGGAAUGAAAGACACACCUGUCUGCAGCAGAGGCUGAGCAAAGAACAAGAGAUCAGUGUUCCCAGGCUGCAGAGCUGCUCAAUGUCCUAUCCUGAUCCUGUCCCUCUGUACAGCCCAACAGCCCACUGACACCUUGCAGAUCACUGAGACCACUUGGACACUGUAGUCCUUGAAACAGAGUAACCCAGUUUGUAGACGCAACAUGUCUUCCAGUAAAAGCUUGAAUUGGCUCAUUUUU